CACCAGGAGUGGAGCCUGCGGCUUAAUUUGACUCAACACGGGAAAACUCACCCGGGCCGGACACUAUAAGGAUUGACAGAUUGAUAGCUCUUUCAUGAUUUAGUGGUUGGUGGUGCAUGGCCGUUCUUAGUUCGUGGAUAUGAUUUGUCUGGUUGAUUCCGAUAACGAGCGAGACUUUUAUGUUAUAUUAAAUAAUAUUAUUAUUAAAUUUUAUUUUAUAUAAUAUUUUAUUUUAAUAACAGAUUAAUAGUGUUUAACUAUUUGAGAGAGAGCAAUAACAGGUCUGUGA
RNAcentral lists this ribosomal RNA (289 nucleotides) under Strongyloides fuelleborni. Its description in RNAcentral is "partial 18S rRNA". It matches the Rfam family "Eukaryotic small subunit ribosomal RNA", at positions 1168 to 1467 of the family's 1831-position model. The record is from RNAcentral. Lineage: Eukaryota; Metazoa; Nematoda; Chromadorea; Rhabditida; Strongyloididae.